RNAcentral lists this ribosomal RNA (426 nucleotides) under Rhipicephalus sanguineus (brown dog tick). RNAcentral describes it as "partial 16S ribosomal RNA". The record is from RNAcentral. Lineage: Eukaryota; Metazoa; Arthropoda; Arachnida; Ixodida; Ixodidae.
CCCCUGCCCCCAAUGUUUUUUAAAUUGCUGUGGUAUUUUGACUAUACAAAGGUAUUGAAAUAAGAUUUUAAUUGAAUGCUAAGAGAAUGGAAGUCCAGAAAAAAACUUUUUUUAAAUUAAAAAUUGAAGUUUUUUUAAUUUGUGCAGAAACAAUUAUUUAUAUUAAAGACAAGAAGACCCUAUGAAUUUAUUAAAUUUUUAUUUAAUAUGUAAUUACUAUUAGAAAAAUUUUGGCUGGGGCGGCUAGAAAAUAUUAUGAACUUUUUAAAAAUAAAAUGAUCCAUUAUUAAUGAUUUUAUGUUAAAUACUCUAGGGAUAACAGCGUUAUAUUUUUUGAUAGAUCAUAUUGACAAAAAAGUUUGCGACCUCGAUGUUGGAUUAGGAUACUUUUUUAAUGAAGAUAUAAAAAAAGAAGUUGUCACGUUC